CCCAGGGCUAAAGCCCUGGGCUAAGAUCGCCUGUCCCUUCGGUACA
Molecule: non-coding RNA, 46 nt
Organism: Candidatus Fischerbacteria bacterium RBG_13_37_8
Lineage: Bacteria; Candidatus Fischeribacteriota
Source: Rfam